CAGUCGCCGCGGGAACACGGAGGGAGCUAGCGGUGUUCGGAAUCACUGGGCGUAAAGCGCACGUAGGCGGCUAUUCAAGUCAGGGGUGAAAGCCCGGGGCUCAACCCCGGAACUGCCUUUGAAACUAGAUAGCUUGAAUCUUGGAGAGGCGAGUGGAAUUCCGGGUGUAGAGGUGAAAUUCGUAGAUAUUCGGAAGAACACCAGUGGCGAAGGCGACUCGCUGGACAAGUAUUGACGCUGAGGUGCGAAAGCGUGGGGAGCAAACAGGAUUAGAUACCCCUGUAGUCCCUGUCUCUUAUAA
This 301-nucleotide ribosomal RNA is filed under the name uncultured bacterium. RNAcentral describes it as "partial 16S ribosomal RNA". It matches the Rfam family "Bacterial small subunit ribosomal RNA", at positions 509 to 809 of the family's 1533-position model. The record is from RNAcentral.